GAUGAACGCUGGCGGCGUGCCUAAUACAUGCAAGUCGAGCGAACAGACGAGGAGCUUGCUCCUCUGACGUUAGCGGCGGACGGGUGAGUAACACGUGGAUAACCUACCUAUAAGACUGGGAUAACUUCGGGAAACCGGAGCUAAUACCGGAUAAUAUAUUGAACCGCAUGGUUCAAUAGUGAAAGACGGUUUUGCUGUCACUUAUAGAUGGAUCCGCGCCGCAUUAGCUAGUUGGUAAGGUAACGGCUUACCAAGGCAACGAUGCGUAGCCGACCUGAGAGGGUGAUCGGCCACACUGGAACUGAGACACGGUCCAGACUCCUACGGGAGGCAGCAGUAGGGAAUCUUCCGCAAUGGGCGAAAGCUUGACGGAGCAACGCCGGGUGAGUGAUGAAGGUCUUCGGAUCGUAAAACUCUGUUAUUAGGGAAGAACAAAUGUGUAAGUAACUAUGCACGUCUUGACGGUACCUAAUCAGAAAGCCACGGCUAACUACGUG
RNAcentral lists this ribosomal RNA (497 nucleotides) under uncultured bacterium. Its description in RNAcentral is "partial 16S ribosomal RNA". It matches the Rfam family "Bacterial small subunit ribosomal RNA", at positions 28 to 507 of the family's 1533-position model. The record is from RNAcentral.